RNAcentral lists this ribosomal RNA (253 nucleotides) under uncultured bacterium. RNAcentral's name for it is "partial 16S ribosomal RNA". It matches the Rfam family "Bacterial small subunit ribosomal RNA", at positions 524 to 776 of the family's 1533-position model. The record is from RNAcentral.
UACAGAGGGUGCGAGCGUUAAUCGGAAUUACUGGGCGUAAAGCGCGCGUAGGCGGCUUUGCAAGUCGAGUGUGAAAUCCCCAGGCUUAACCUGGGAACUGCAUUCGAGACUGCAUAGCUAGAGUAUGGGAGAGGGAAGUGGAAUUUCAGGUGUAGCGGUGAAAUGCGUAGAUAUCUGAAGGAACAUCAGUGGCGAAAGCGACUUCCUGGACCGAUACUGACGCUCAUGUGCGAAAGCGUGGGGAGCGAACAGG